RNAcentral lists this ribosomal RNA (903 nucleotides) under uncultured bacterium. RNAcentral describes it as "bacterial SSU rRNA". It matches the Rfam family "Bacterial small subunit ribosomal RNA", at positions 588 to 1504 of the family's 1533-position model. The record is from RNAcentral.
UCAGUGGUUAAAGCCAAUAGCUUAACUAUUGUAUGCCAUUGAAACUGGAUGUCUUGAAUAGGGUAGAGGUAGGCGGAAUGUGUUGUGUAGCGGUGAAAUGCUUAGAUAUAACACAGAACACCGAUUGCGAAGGCAGCUUACUAUGCCUUUAUUGACACUGAUGCACGAAAGCGUGGGGAUCAAACAGGAUUAGAUACCCUGGUAGUCCACGCUGUAAACGAUGAUCACUCGUUUUUGGCAAUACAUCGUCAGAGACUAAGCGAAAGCAUUAAGUGAUCCACCUGGGGAGUACGUUCGCAAGAAUGAAACUCAAAGGAAUUGACGGGGGCCCGCACAAGCGGAGGAACAUGUGGUUUAAUUCGAUGAUACGCGAGGAACCUUACCUGGGCUUAAAUGUAUAGUGCAUAAUAUGGAAACAUAUUUUUCCUUCGGGACUCUUUACAAGGUGCUGCAUGGUUGUCGUCAGCUCGUGCCGUGAGGUGUCGGGUUAAGUCCCAUAACGAGCGCAACCCUCAUCGCCAGUUGCCAGCAUGUAAUGAUGGGGACUCUGGUGAAACUGCCGGUGUAAACCGUGAGGAAGGUGGGGAUGACGUCAAAUCAGCACGGCCCUUAUGUCCAGGGCUACACACGUGUUACAAUGGCCAAUACAAAGGGCAGCCACCCGGCGACGGGGUGCUAAUCCAUAAAGUUGGUCUUAGUUCGGAUCGGAGUCUGCAACUCGACUCCGUGAAGCUGGAUUCGCUAGUAAUCGUAGAUCAGCCAUGCUACGGUGAAUACGUUCCCGGGCCUUGUACACACCGCCCGUCAAGCCAUGGAAGUUGGGGGUACCUGAAGUCCGUAACCGCAAGGAGCGGCCUAGGGUAAAACCGAUGACUGGGGCUAAGUCGUAACAAGGUAACCGUA